GGGGAGAGACUUAGAAUCCCCGUUGAAUGAGCGUGUGAAUAGCGGCGUCUUUGGCCGGACGUGGUGGUUCGUGAAUC
Molecule: non-coding RNA, 77 nt
Submitted as: unclassified sequences
Source: Rfam